Molecule: ribosomal RNA, 501 nt
Filed under: uncultured bacterium
Lineage: Bacteria
Description: partial 16S ribosomal RNA
Rfam family: Bacterial small subunit ribosomal RNA
Source: RNAcentral
AUUGAACGCUGGCGGCAGGCUUAACACAUGCAAGUCGAGCGGAGAUGAGGUGCUUGCACCUUAUCUUAGCGGCGGACGGGUGAGUAAUGCUUAGGAAUCUGCCUAUUAGUGGGGGACAACAUUCCGAAAGGAAUGCUAAUACCGCAUACGUCCUACGGGAGAAAGCAGGGGAUCUUCGGACCUUGCGCUAAUAGAUGUGCCUAAGUCGGAUUAGCUAGUUGGUGGGGUAAAGGCCUACCAAGGCGACGAUCUGUAGCGGGUCUGAUAGGAUGAUCCGCCACACUGGGACUGAGACACGGCCCAGACUCCUACGGGAGGCAGCAGUGGGGAAUAUUGGACAAUGGGGGGAACCCUGAUCCAGCCAUGCCGCGUGUGUGAAGAAGGCCUUAUGGUUGUAAAGCACUUUAAGCGAGGAGGAGGCUACUGAGACUAAUACUCUUGGAUAGUGGACGUUACUCGCAGAAUAAGCACCGGCUAACUCUGUGCCAGCCGCCGCAGUAA